This 72-nucleotide transfer RNA is filed under the name Camelus bactrianus (Bactrian camel). It matches the Rfam family "tRNA". From Rfam's summary of the family: Transfer RNA (tRNA) molecules are approximately 80 nucleotides in length. Their secondary structure includes four short double-helical elements and three loops (D, anti-codon, and T loops). RNAcentral also lists the same sequence under 1 other name. Lineage: Eukaryota; Metazoa; Chordata; Mammalia; Artiodactyla; Camelidae. The record is from Rfam by way of RNAcentral.
GGUAGUAUAGCUUAGCGGUAGAGCAUGUGCUUGGCGUGCAAAAGGUCCUGGGUUCAAUUCCCAGUGCUUCCG